Molecule: ribosomal RNA, 499 nt
Filed under: uncultured Glomeromycotina
Lineage: Eukaryota; Fungi; Glomeromycota
Description: partial small subunit ribosomal RNA
Rfam family: Eukaryotic small subunit ribosomal RNA
Source: RNAcentral
CCAAUAGCGUAUAUUAAAGUUGUUGCAGUUAAAAAGCUCGUAGUUGAAUUUCGGAAUCAAUUUGGUGGUCGUGCCUCGGUACGUACUGGUAUUAUUGGUUUCUACCUUCUGAAGAACCUUGAUGUCAUUAAUUUGGUGUCUUGGGGAAUCAGGACUGUUACUUUGAAAAAAUUAGAGUGUUUAAAGCAAGCAUACGCUUGAAUACAUUAGCAUGGAAUAAUGAAAUAGGACGUUUGAUUCUAUUUUGUUGGUUUCUAGGAUCGACGUAAUGAUUAAUAGGGAUAGUUGGGGGCAUUAGUAUUCAAUUGUCAGAGGUGAAAUUCUUGGAUUUAUUGAAGACUAACUACUGCGAAAGCAUUUGCCAAGGAUGUUUUCAUUAAUCAAGAACGAAAGUUAGGGGAUCGAAGACGAUCAGAUACCGUCGUAGUCUUAACCAUAAACUAUGCCGACUAGGGAUCGGAUGAUGUUAAUUUUUUAAUGACUCAUUCGGCGCCUUACG